This 486-nucleotide ribosomal RNA is filed under the name uncultured bacterium. RNAcentral describes it as "partial 16S ribosomal RNA". It matches the Rfam family "Bacterial small subunit ribosomal RNA", at positions 30 to 507 of the family's 1533-position model. The record is from RNAcentral.
AUUGAACGCUGGCGGCAUGCCUUACACAUGCAAGUCGAACGGCAGCACGGGUGCUUGCACCUGGUGGCGAGUGGCGAACGGGUGAGUAAUACAUCGGAACAUGUCCUGUAGUGGGGGAUAGCCCGGCGAAAGCCGGAUUAAUACCGCAUACGAUCUACGGAUGAAAGCGGGGGACCUUCGGGCCUCGCGCUAUAGGGUUGGCCGAUGGCUGAUUAGCUAGUUGGUGGGGUAAAGGCCUACCAAGGCGACGAUCAGUAGCUGGUCUGAGAGGACGAUCAGCCACACUGGGACUGAGACACGGCCCAGACUCCUACGGGAGGCAGCAGUGGGGAAUUUUGGACAAUGGGCGAAAGCCUGAUCCAGCAAUGCCGCGUGUGUGAAGAAGGCCUUCGGGUUGUAAAGCACUUUUGUCCGGAAAGAAAUCCUUGGCCCUAAUACGGUCGGGGGAUGACGGUACCGGAAGAAUAAGCACCGGCUAACUACGUG